CCUACGGGUGGCAGCAGUGGGGAAUAUUGCACAAUGGGGGAAACCCUGAUGCAGCGACGCCGCGUGAGGGAAGAAGGAUUUCGGUAUGUAAAGCUCUAUCAGCAGGGAAGAAAAUGACGGUACCUGAGUAAGAAGCUCCGGCUAAAUACGUGCCAGCAGCCGCGGUAAUACGUAGGGAGGAAGCGUUAUCCGGAUUUACUGGGCGUAAAGGGGGCGUAGGCGGCCUGCCAAGGCCGAUGGGAAAUACGGGGGCUCAACCCCGGGGCUGCAUUUGAAACUGGCAGGCUGGAGUGCCGGAGAGGCAGGCGGAAUUCCUGGUGUAGCGGUGAAAUGCGUAGAUAUUAGGAGGAACACCAGUGGCGAAGGCGGCCUGCUGGACGGUUACUGACGCUGAGGCUCGAAAGCGUGGGGAGCAAACAGGAUUAGAUACCCUAGUAGUC
This 440-nucleotide ribosomal RNA is filed under the name uncultured bacterium. RNAcentral's name for it is "partial 16S ribosomal RNA". It matches the Rfam family "Bacterial small subunit ribosomal RNA", at positions 338 to 795 of the family's 1533-position model. The record is from RNAcentral.